GACGAACGCUGGCGGCGUGCUUAACACAUGCAAGUCGAACGCUGAAGCUCAGCUUUUGUUGGGUGGAUGAGUGGCGAACGGGUGAGUAACACGUGAGUAACCUGCCCCCUUCUUUGGGAUAACGCCCGGAAACGGGUGCUAAUACUGGAUAUUCACUGGUCUUCGCAUGGGGGUUGGUGGAAAGGGUUUUUCUGGUGGGGGAUGGGCUAGCGGCCUAUCAGCUUGUUGGUGGGGUGAUGGCCUACCAAGGCUUUGACGGGUAGCCGGCCUGAGAGGGUGACCGGUCACAUUGGGACUGAGAUACGGCCCAGACUCCUACGGGAGGCAGCAGGGGGGAAUAUUGCAGGAUGGGCGGAAGCCUGAUGCAGCGACGCCGCGUGAGGGAUGGAGGCCUUCGGGUUGUGAACCUCUUUCGCUCAUGGUCAAGCCGCAACAAUGGUUGUAGUGAGGGUAGUGGGUAAAGAAGCGCCGGCUAACUACGUG
RNAcentral lists this ribosomal RNA (483 nucleotides) under uncultured bacterium. RNAcentral's name for it is "partial 16S ribosomal RNA". It matches the Rfam family "Bacterial small subunit ribosomal RNA", at positions 28 to 507 of the family's 1533-position model. The record is from RNAcentral.